RNAcentral lists this ribosomal RNA (497 nucleotides) under uncultured bacterium. RNAcentral's name for it is "partial 16S ribosomal RNA". It matches the Rfam family "Bacterial small subunit ribosomal RNA", at positions 28 to 507 of the family's 1533-position model. The record is from RNAcentral.
GACGAACGCUGGCGGCGUGCCUAAUACAUGCAAGUUGAGCGCUGAAGGUUGGUACUUGUACCAACUGGAUGAGCAGCGAACGGGUGAGUAACGCGUGGGGAAUCUGCCUUUGAGCGGGGGACAACAUUUGGAAACGAAUGCUAAUACCGCAUAAAAACUUUAAACGCAAGUUUUAAGUUUGAAAGAUGCAAUUGCAUCACUCAAGGAUGAUCCCGCGUUGUAUUAGCUAGUUGGUGAGGUAAAGGCUCACCAAGGCGAUGAUACAUAGCCGACCUGAGAGGGUGAGCGGCCACAUUGGGACUGAGACACGGCCCAAACUCCUACGGGAGGCAGCAGUAGGGAAUCUUCGGCAAUGGACGAAAGUCUGACCGAGCAACGCCGCGUGAGUGAAGAAGGUGUUCGGAUCGUAAAACUCUGUUGGUAGAGAAGAACGUUGGUGAGAGUGGAAAGCUCAUCAAGUGACGGUAACUAACCAGAAAGGGACGGCUAACUACGUG